GCUUACGACCACACCGGCCUCAGUACGCCUGAUCUCGUCUCAUCUCGGAAGCUAAGCAGGGUCGGGCCUGGUUAGUACUUGGAUGGAAGACCGCCUGGGAAUACCAGGUGCUGUAAGCU
Molecule: ribosomal RNA, 119 nt
Organism: Oncorhynchus kisutch (coho salmon)
Lineage: Eukaryota; Metazoa; Chordata; Actinopteri; Salmoniformes; Salmonidae
Source: Ensembl